RNAcentral lists this ribosomal RNA (313 nucleotides) under uncultured bacterium. RNAcentral describes it as "bacterial SSU rRNA". It matches the Rfam family "Bacterial small subunit ribosomal RNA", at positions 62 to 387 of the family's 1533-position model. The record is from RNAcentral.
UCGAGGGGCAGCAUAACUUAGCUUGCUAAGUUGAUGGCGACCGGCGCACGGGUGAGUAACACGUAUCCACCUGCCGAUGACUCGGGGAUAGCCUUUCGAAAGAAAGAUUAAUACCCGAUGGCUCCGCAUUAGUAAAGAAUUUCGGCCAUCGAUGGGGAUGCGUUCCAUUAGGUUGUUGGCGGGGUAACGGCCCACCAAGCCUUCGAUGGAUAGGGGUUCUGAGAGGAAGGUCCCCCACAUUGGAACUGAGACACGGUCCAAACUCUACGGGAGGCAGCAGUGAGGAAUAUUGGUCAAUGGACGAGAGUCUGAA